GGUAAGAUGGCUGAGUGUUAUAAGCGUUAGGCUGUAGUCCUUUUUACAGGGGUUUAAUUCCUCUUCUUACCG
Egretta garzetta (little egret) is the source of this 72-nucleotide transfer RNA. It matches the Rfam family "tRNA". From Rfam's summary of the family: Transfer RNA (tRNA) molecules are approximately 80 nucleotides in length. Their secondary structure includes four short double-helical elements and three loops (D, anti-codon, and T loops). Further hydrogen bonds mediate the characteristic L-shaped molecular structure. tRNAs have two regions of fundamental functional importance: the anti-codon, which is responsible for specific mRNA codon recognition, and the 3' end, to which the tRNAs corresponding amino acid is attached (by aminoacyl-tRNA synthetases). tRNAs cope with the degeneracy of the genetic code in two manners: having more than one tRNA (with a specific anti-codon) for a particular amino acid; and 'wobble' base-pairing, i.e. permitting non-standard base-pairing at the 3rd anti-codon position. The record is from Rfam. NCBI's taxonomy places the organism in Eukaryota, Metazoa, Chordata, Aves, Pelecaniformes, Ardeidae.